Molecule: ribosomal RNA, 500 nt
Filed under: uncultured bacterium
Lineage: Bacteria
Description: partial 16S ribosomal RNA
Rfam family: Bacterial small subunit ribosomal RNA
Source: RNAcentral
AUUGAACGCUGGCGGCAUGCCUUACACAUGCAAGUCGAACGGCAGCACGGGAGCAAUCCUGGUGGCGAGUGGCGAACGGGUGAGUAAUGUAUCGGAACGUGCCCAGUCGUGGGGGAUAACGUAGCGAAAGCUACGCUAAUACCGCAUACGAUCUGUGGAUGAAAGCGGGGGACCGUAAGGCCUCGCGCGAUUGGAGCGGCCGGUAUCAGAUUAGGUAGCUGGUGGGGUAAAGGCCUACGAAGCCGACGAUCUGUAGCUGGUCUGAGAGGACGACCAGCCACACUGGGACUGAGACACGGCCCAGACUCCGACGGGAGGCAGCAGUGGGGAAUUUUGGACAAUGGGCGCAAGCCUGAUCCAGCAAUGCCGCGUGCAGGAUGAAGGCCUUCGGGUUGUAAACUGCUUUUGUACGGAGCGAAAAGGCUCUCUCUAAUACAGGGGGCUCAUGACGGUACCGUAAGAAUAAGCACCGGCUAACUACGUGCCAGCCGCCGCAGUAA